Molecule: ribosomal RNA, 253 nt
Filed under: uncultured bacterium
Lineage: Bacteria
Description: partial 16S ribosomal RNA
Rfam family: Bacterial small subunit ribosomal RNA
Source: RNAcentral
AACGUAGGUACCGAGCGUUAUCCGGAUUUACUGGGCGUAAAGCGCGUUCAGGCGGUGGGGCAAGUCGGGCAUGAAAUCUCUCGGCUCAACCGGGAGAGGUUGUCCGAUACUGCGUUACUAGAGGGCAGUAGAGGGUGGUGGAAUUCCGGGUGUAGUGGUGAAAUGCGUAGAGAUCCGGAGGAACACCAGUGGCGAAAGCGGCCACCUGGACUGCACCUGACGCUGAAACGCGAAAGCUAGGGGAGCGAACGGG